CAAAAAGCAAAGAAACAGCAAUUUUAUCCACUGCCAAGUCUGACCGAUGUAACUUCCAGAAUUGUGUCCCUGGCUUAUGUUAAAUGUUAGAUAACUGCUUCUACAUGGAAGGAAACCAAAAUGAAAUGUGUCAAGAAGGAUUUCUUUCAAAAGGUUGCAUUCUUAAAAGGCAUUUCACUUUUCUUCAGUAGAUUCCAGUUCAAGAAUCCUUUUGUGUGUGGCCCAUUUAAGAAGUGGCAUGGCACUCCUUCACCUUCUUGCUGGGACCAUUCCCAAGGCAGGAUGUGGGCGAGUGUGACAGGGACAUUUCUCUGGGUGCUAAAGCUGCCCUGAGCAUCUUGGGGCAAUUUGUGGUGGACUUGAAAGUUAGACAAGAUGAAAUGUUCUGAUUUCCGCUGCAAGAGGGAAGAGGAGAUAGGGAAUUCAGCAGGGACACACAGGCAGAGGCAGGUCCUGUCUGAAGGAGAAGGACAAACUCAGCUUUGUGAUACAAAAGAUGAGUGAACUCCUGGCAAGAUCCAGUUUGUGGUGCAGGAGGACUGACUCUGGAUAUUCCUUUGCAGAGCACAAAUAAGAGCCUCCUGUCACCCCUCCUGUGACUUGCUUUCCAAAGCCAGAGUCUGGCCUCUGGAAGAAGAGGCUGAAUAAGCAUCUUAAACUAUAAAAUACAUCCUCACAUGAGGUGAAAUGAUAGGGUUGAGAAUUUCUGCACCUGCAUACUGCCAGUGUUUACCAGAAGCAAGAUCUGGGCCUUAUUAAAACAACUGGGAGAGGAGGUUUUUUCCCCAGCCUGGAAUUUUAUUAAUCAGCCAGAAUGGAAAUUCUUGCACAAACAGAGAACAAGCUUUCUAAAAUCUUUAGCCAUGCAUUUUCUAAUUUUUUUUUCCCAAUGGGCAUUUUAUAGCAAAAUAAUAGUUCAAAAUUCAGGUCCUUAAUUAACAAGUAAAGAACUGACCCAAUGCCAGCAGCAACUGAAUCACUAAUAUUUAAGGCCAUCUGUUGUACAAUUGUCAGAUAUUCAGAAUUUGACAUUUUACUCCCUUUAUGCAGAUAAUUUUCAUCUAGAUCUUGACACAGAGAAGCUAACAAUCUCAGUCCAGAUAUGCAACACUCAGAUAAAACAGAGGCACAUGUUGUACUUUGGUCUAUUUUAAGACUUGAUUUUUC
Molecule: long non-coding RNA, 1167 nt
Filed under: Ficedula albicollis (Collared flycatcher)
Lineage: Eukaryota; Metazoa; Chordata; Aves; Passeriformes; Muscicapidae
Description: lncRNA (ENSFALG00000027982.1)
Source: RNAcentral